UACAGAGGUCCCAAGCGUUGUUCGGAUUCAUUGGGCGUAAAGGGUGCGUAGGCGGUGGGGUAAGUUGGAUGUGAAAUCUUGGGGCUUAACCUCAAAAUUGCAUUCAAUACUGCUCCGCUCGAGUUCUGUAGAGGAGAUUGGAAUUUACGGUGUAGCAGUGAAAUGCGUAGAUAUCGUAAGGAACGCCAGUGGCGAAAGCGAGUCUCUGGGCAGCAACUGACGCUGAGGCACGAAGGCCAGGGGAGCAAACGGG
Molecule: ribosomal RNA, 253 nt
Filed under: uncultured bacterium
Lineage: Bacteria
Description: partial 16S ribosomal RNA
Rfam family: Bacterial small subunit ribosomal RNA
Source: RNAcentral